RNAcentral lists this transfer RNA (73 nucleotides) under Ailuropoda melanoleuca (giant panda). It matches the Rfam family "tRNA". Rfam says of the family: Transfer RNA (tRNA) molecules are approximately 80 nucleotides in length. Their secondary structure includes four short double-helical elements and three loops (D, anti-codon, and T loops). Further hydrogen bonds mediate the characteristic L-shaped molecular structure. tRNAs have two regions of fundamental functional importance: the anti-codon, which is responsible for specific mRNA codon recognition, and the 3' end, to which the tRNAs corresponding amino acid is attached (by aminoacyl-tRNA synthetases). tRNAs cope with the degeneracy of the genetic code in two manners: having more than one tRNA (with a specific anti-codon) for a particular amino acid; and 'wobble' base-pairing, i.e. permitting non-standard base-pairing at the 3rd anti-codon position. Lineage: Eukaryota; Metazoa; Chordata; Mammalia; Carnivora; Ursidae. The record is from Rfam by way of RNAcentral.
GCCUGGCUGGCUCAGUCAGUAGAGCGUGUGACUCUUGAUCUUGGUGUUGUGAGUUCGAGCCCCAUCCUGGGCA